GGGGUUGUGGCUCAGUGGCAGAGCACUCACUUAGCAUGUGUGAGACACUGGGUUUGAUCCUUAGCAUCCCA
Molecule: transfer RNA, 71 nt
Filed under: Marmota marmota marmota (Alpine marmot)
Lineage: Eukaryota; Metazoa; Chordata; Mammalia; Rodentia; Sciuridae
Also listed under: 2 other names
Rfam family: tRNA
About the family: Transfer RNA (tRNA) molecules are approximately 80 nucleotides in length. Their secondary structure includes four short double-helical elements and three loops (D, anti-codon, and T loops).
Source: Rfam by way of RNAcentral